This is a long non-coding RNA of Puntigrus tetrazona (Sumatra barb), 313 nucleotides long. RefSeq lists it as uncharacterized. NCBI's taxonomy places the organism in Eukaryota, Metazoa, Chordata, Actinopteri, Cypriniformes, Cyprinidae. The transcript has 2 exons. The record is from RefSeq and is a predicted model, not a curated record.
CUGAUGGUGUCGGUGCAGGAGGACGAGACAGAGGAGACGGUGUGCCGUAGAUCGGUCUGUGAGGGCACCUUCAGGCUGAUCUCUGAGGGGGACGAGCCGGGCUCCAGAACCGGACCACCUGCCCAACAGACAGAACAAGAGCUCAGGAAGACAUCGAGCGCCUCGUGAUCGGACACAUCCGUGAGAUCCAUUUGUUCCAGGAGAUCAACAUUCACCUCCAUUGAAGACAUGCUGCCUAAUGGAUCUGCCCCAGAGAAAGAAAGAAAUUAUAAUCCUACACUUUGACAACUCUAACACCAAACCAGCUUCAAAA